ACUCCUACGGGAGGCAGCAGUGGGGAAUAUUGCACAAUGGGGGAAAGCCCUCGAUCCAGCCAUGCCGCGUGAGCGAUGAAGGCCUUAGGGUUGUAAAAGCUCUUUCAGGUGGGAAGAUAAAUGACGGUACCACCAGAAGAAGCCCCGGCUAACUCCCGUGCCAGCAGCCGCGGUAAUACGGAGGGUGCGAGCGUUAUCCGGAUUUAUUGGGUUUAAAGGGUCCGUAGGCGG
RNAcentral lists this ribosomal RNA (231 nucleotides) under uncultured bacterium. Its description in RNAcentral is "partial 16S ribosomal RNA". It matches the Rfam family "Bacterial small subunit ribosomal RNA", at positions 335 to 578 of the family's 1533-position model. The record is from RNAcentral.